RNAcentral lists this long non-coding RNA (297 nucleotides) under Arachis ipaensis. RNAcentral's name for it is "long non-coding RNA (AIPA_LNC002482)". The record is from RNAcentral. Lineage: Eukaryota; Viridiplantae; Streptophyta; Magnoliopsida; Fabales; Fabaceae.
GCUUCUUUGAUUUGGCAUAGAAAGCAUGGCAGUGUGAUCCAAGAAAUCUUUAAGCUCCACAACAGAUUGAAGAACAGUUCUAAGAUCCUCAGAACAAGAGAAUCCAAAGCUACCAAUUUGCCUAACAGCAUAGACAUAGAAAGUGAUGCAACCUUUUCUGAAUUUGAACCUUGCCAUCUCAGAACCAACAAGGCCUCUUAUGAGUUUCUCAUUGACUUCACCAAGAGCAAUCUCAUGUGGCCAUGUUCUAUCAACUUGUGACUUCAUUGCUUCAUUCUCAAACACAAACACAAGAAC